Molecule: long non-coding RNA, 278 nt
Organism: Nothoprocta perdicaria
Lineage: Eukaryota; Metazoa; Chordata; Aves; Tinamiformes; Tinamidae
Exons: 2
Source: RefSeq, a predicted model, not a curated record
UCUUUUUUCCCUCCUGACUGCUCCCGAAUGGCUUUAUAACCCCUGCAAGGCCUCCCAGCCCCCUUGAAGCUUCAUUCCCUCCCCAUAUACCGAGCACCGACGGCAUGUCCCAGCACCACGGAGGCUUCAGCCGUGCGGGGCCAGAGCAGUGUCUCCUCUUCCCGGGGAUAUGCGGCGCAUGGAUCGGGAUGAGGAUGUGGAUCCAUGAAUCUGCUCGGCUUGGUAGCUUAGAAAGUCACCACAGGAGCAUCAUUACUCUGGAAAAGUGCCUUUCUGCC